UAGCCUAACGGCUGAACCAGCAACUUGGAGGAAUGAAUAGCAAUAGCUAAUUGCAUCAGUUAUAUCUUGAUGCAGUAUCGAUUUUAUCGAAUAAAAUUCUAGGUAGAAUUAUGAUGAUGACAUUGUCUACCUAUGUGUCUUGACCAAAUUACGUGCCAGCAGUCGCGGUAAUACGUAGAAGACUAGUGUUAUUCAUCUUUAAUAGGUUUAAAGGGUACCUAGACGGUGAAUCAAGCCUGCAAAUAGGGACUAAUUUACUAGAGUUACUUGUGAGGGGGCAUUAAAGUACUGCUGGUGUAGAGAUGAAAUUCUAUAAUACCUUUUCCUCAAGAAAUAAUGGCACAGGUAUAGGCGAAAGCAUCCCCUUAUGUGAUAACUGACGUUGAAGGACGAAGGCUUUGUGUAGCAAACAGGAUUAGAUACCCUGGUAGUCGAAGCAGAAAAUGAUGAAUGUCAUAGAUUAGACGUAGUUUAUUCUAUAAAUGAAAGUGUAAGCAUUCCACCUCGAGAGUAAUUUGGCAACAUUGGAACUGAAAUCAUUAGACCGUUUCUGAAACCAGUAGUGAAGUAUGUUGUUUAAUUUGAUACUCCGCAAAGAACCUUACCACAAUUUGAAUAUUUAUAUAUAUACUUUUUAUUUCGCUUUUAUUAUUUUUUUAUUUACCUAGUUGUGGAAGAGAAAAAUAAGAAAAAGUUUAAAAAGUAAAAACAUAUUUACAAGCGUUGCACGGCUGUCUUCAGUUAAUGUCGCGAGACUUUGGUUAGAUCCAUUAAAUUAACGCAAACCCUUACUUUAUUUUUACAUAAAGUAGUUCCCCACUAGAUUGGAUAAGAUAACAGGGACUAAGACAAGUCAUCAUGGCCUUAAUAUUGUGGGCUAUAGACGUGCCACAUAGACCUUACAAAAGGAUGUGAAAUUGUGAAAUUGAACUAAUCCCCCAAAAAUGGAUAUACAC
This 956-nucleotide ribosomal RNA is filed under the name Pyrrhospora quernea. RNAcentral's name for it is "SSU rRNA". It matches the Rfam family "Bacterial small subunit ribosomal RNA", at positions 372 to 1293 of the family's 1533-position model. Lineage: Eukaryota; Fungi; Ascomycota; Lecanoromycetes; Lecanorales; Lecanoraceae. The record is from RNAcentral.